AGAUAUUGAAAGAAGUAUUAAUUCAAAUACUGAAAAAGAAGAUAGAAGUAAUGGCCUUAGAAGAAGUAAUAGAGAAAGAAUUCUGAAGAAACUUUUAUCCUAUUAGGAAUUAUGUGACAUAUGCAUGUACCUCUGAAAAAUACAAAAGAAUUCUCUCAAAAACUGUUGAAGAAUCUAUUCCCAAUGAUGAAAAGGAGGC
Molecule: long non-coding RNA, 199 nt
Filed under: Spirodela polyrhiza (greater duckweed)
Lineage: Eukaryota; Viridiplantae; Streptophyta; Magnoliopsida; Alismatales; Araceae
Description: long non-coding RNA (SPOL_LNC002228)
Source: RNAcentral